This 471-nucleotide ribosomal RNA is filed under the name uncultured Alteromonadaceae bacterium. RNAcentral's name for it is "bacterial SSU rRNA". It matches the Rfam family "Bacterial small subunit ribosomal RNA", at positions 30 to 505 of the family's 1533-position model. The record is from RNAcentral. Lineage: Bacteria; Pseudomonadati; Pseudomonadota; Gammaproteobacteria; Alteromonadales; Alteromonadaceae.
AUUGAACGCUGGCGGCAGGCCUAACACAUGCAAGUCGAGCGAGAAAGCCUUCGGGUGAGUAUAGCGGCGGACGGGAGAGUAACGCGUGGGAAUCUGCCUAGUAGUGGGGGACAACUUAUGGAAACGUAAGCUAAUACCGCAUACACCCUACGGGGAAAAGGAGGCUUCGGCUUUCGCUAUUAGAUGAGCCCGCGUUAGAUUAGCUUGUUGGUGGGGUAAUGGCCUACCAAGGCGACGAUCUAUAGCUGGUCUGAGAGGAUGAUCAGCCUCAUUGGGACUGAGACACGGCCCAAACUCCUACGGGAGGCAGCAGUGGGGAAUAUUGGACAAUGGGCGAAAGCCUGAUCCAGCCAUGCCGCGUGUGUGAAGAAGGCUCUAGGGUUGUAAAGCACUUUCAGUAGGGAGGAAAAGUUAGUAGUUAAUACCUGCUAACCCUGACGUUACCUACAGAAGAAGCACCGGCAAACUCCG